RNAcentral lists this ribosomal RNA (440 nucleotides) under uncultured bacterium. RNAcentral describes it as "bacterial SSU rRNA". It matches the Rfam family "Bacterial small subunit ribosomal RNA", at positions 338 to 795 of the family's 1533-position model. The record is from RNAcentral.
CCUACGGGAGGCAGCAGUGGGGAAUAUUGGACAAUGGGCGCAAGCCUGAUCCAGCAAUGCCGCGUGAGUGAGGAAGGCCUUAGGGUUGUAAAGCUCUUUCACCCGCGACGAUGAUGACGGUAGCGGGAGAAGAAGCCCCGGCUAACUUCGUGCCAGCAGCCGCGGUAAUACGAAGGGGGCGAGCGUUGUUCGGAUUUACUGGGCGUAAAGGGCGCGCAGGCGGCUCAUUUUGUCAGGCGUGAAAGCCCCGGGCUUAACCUGGGAACUGCGUUUGAUACGGAUGGGCUAGAGUUCGGGAGAGGAGAGUGGAAUUCCCAGUGUAGAGGUGAAAUUCGUAGAUAUUGGGAAGAACACCGGUGGCGAAGGCGGCUCUCUGGACCGAGACUGACGCUGAGGCGCGAAAGCGUGGGGAGCAAACAGGAUUAGAUACCCCAGUAGUC